Gasterosteus aculeatus aculeatus (three-spined stickleback) is the source of this 2329-nucleotide long non-coding RNA. NCBI's taxonomy places the organism in Eukaryota, Metazoa, Chordata, Actinopteri, Perciformes, Gasterosteidae. The record is from Ensembl.
GUGAGUAAUGUGCACGGGAACAAGGCAGCGCGUUCGGACUGAUUAAAUCCUGAGGGAAGUGCUGACGUAUGAAAUGGAGUAUACGGGUUUAAUGGUGAGAAACCUGAUCCACGUACGUGUUUAACACGAGUGAUCACAUGCAUGAAACGUUCACAUCGAGGAGCGGGCUAUUUGGACACUUAGCAUGUCAUAAAGUAUAUAUGAACAAUGCAUAAUGUAAGACAUUUAUGAUGAAAAGAUGUGAAACAGAAUUUCAGAUUUAGCUAUAUUCAAAUAUAUGAAUAUUUCACAUGGAAAUAUAUAUAUAUAUAUGUAUGUAUGUUGUUUGUGCUUUUAAAUAGGGCAAAAUAUAGUAUUGUACAGUUUUGAAAAAAACAUCAGCGAGAGUGAUGGAGGACGCUUGGACGUGACAAACAACUAGAAAAGAAUGUCUAGUUUGAGCUUCUUUUUUAAGUUUUCAUGACUAAAUAAAGGAAAUUUUAUUUUGGUUAAUCAGCAUUUGUUAAUUAACGUAUUAAGGGUUGAAGAAUUUAAUCUUUGGCAGAUUAUAGUCAGUCAUUUAUAAAAAAUGAAAGUGGAUAGCGAAGGAUUAAGUAAUGUGUAGCGGCUGCCAUGAAACUUUCCAUUAUGUCAAUAGGAAGCAACUGUGGCCUCACAAGCUGUAAUAUUUGACAUUUCUUUUGCAAAAGUGUUUUUCGUAUAUGAAGUGGAAGCAGUGUAUUCAUGAGCUUCCUCGGCAUUGUUUGAACUUGUCUUACAAACGCUUGAAUGUCAAGGUUGUUUGCUUACAUGUAGAGGUUUAGCUGUAGUUCAGUUUAGCAACUGUAUUCAGUCCCUCCGGAACGUUUGCGUAGAUACUUAGAAACCGGUGCGUCCGGUGCAACCGGUUGGAGCUUAGCAACAGCAGAUACAAGCGGCUCCUACUCGAUCGAGAGGCCAAGCCGAGCGGAGUGGUUGUUUCUGCAGUGACAAGUCAAACUCUCGGAUGGGACAACACAUGAGCUACAAUGACGCCCCGGAGCUCUGUGGAGCUGCACAUCCGUUAGAAAUGCGGGGGAAAAAAGGGACAGUGGAACAUCUGGUUGAAGUCCUCCGAUUCACUGCAGCACUGCACAAAUAAACACAUUGUACCUGCUCUUUGGGACUUCACACUUAAACACAUAAACACCCCCCCACACACACACCAUAAUGUGGUCAGUGCAAAUUCACACCGUGCACCGUCACACUUGAAGGGAGUUCACUGUGCUUUCAUUCUGCAAAGCACAUUUCUCCCUCCUUUCCGUCCGUCUCUUAAUUGCUGUUAGAGAUGACUAAGUGUAGCGAUGAGUCACUACAGGUCUCAGGAACACACACACACACACACACACACACACACACACACACACACACACACAGACAGACCGGAGACUACGGGGGACUAACGGGAACCAGAACAGGAAAACAAAAAUAUUUCCGUGGUUGAAAAGAGGAACCUGCUUCCAGUAAAAGUAAAGAAGAAGUUAAAGAGGGUGUGUGUGUGUGUGUGUGUGUGUGUGUGUGUGUGUGUGUGUGUGUGUGUGUGUGUGUUAAUUAAAGCUGGGAGGAGAUCUUUGGAGGGGAGAGUGAGCUGCCAAAGGCUUCUGGCAGAUGCGCUGCAGACUUCCGCCUCGUUUCAACCGGCUCCAACCGCAUGAUUUGCUGCAGUGGGACAGCUCACAUCACUCAAAUAUGUCAAACAACAACUCUUCCACACGAAGGUUUGUCCCCAUCUUCUCCUUUCUUACUGUUUUUACGAGAGAAACUUUAUGAAAAGACGUAAUAAGAUGCAGCCUGUGAUUGGAAGCAUUUUUAAAAAUUUCCUGGCAGAAACUAAACACUCGAGCACAGCUGAUUGGUUGUUGUUUGGCCAGUGAGGUAAACAUUCCCACCAGCGCAGCAGCUUUUACAUUUCCAUGUUUCAGGACUGAAACACCACGGUGUUGGGUCUGAGUCAGAGGGUUACAAAUCAAAACCGAACGUUGUUGGGGGAGAAUUUGUUGCGCUGCAAAUUGUUAAUGUCUCCAAACGUGUUGGAAGAAGAUGCCACAGCUAGAUGGACCUUGUUGAGUUAAGUGAACACACACAAUCAGCCAGAAUGCAAAGCGACAUCAAUGUAACGUAGUUACUUAAUAUGUUUAUUUUCCUUUUUUCUUUCAGAUUGUUCUUUAAUGUACUGUGGUGCUCUGGUGAUAAGUAAUAAGUUGAUGUACUUGACCGAAAAUGUAGUUGUGUUUGUGAUUUUUAAAGCUGAAAUAGGGUAUUUUCAGGUUGUCAGCUUGUAUGGGGUUGUAGAUCAUAAUGUUGAUUUCAG